AAAUAACCACCACAACAAACAAAAAUUAGAAAGAAGUCCAAGACAGAGCAAUGGCGCAUUUAGCAGCAAUGGGCGUUUCCCAAAUUUCCUCUUCAAUAUACAUGCCGGAACUUCCACUCAAGUCUCAAAAUCCACAGCCCUCGUCCAUUUUCCUCAAGAGAAUCGGCGUAGCUCAUAAAAGAUUCAAUCUUGUUAAAGCUACCGUCGAUGGGUCCCCAGUCCCAGCUCCAUCCCCUGGUCUUUACUCUGCUAAACAAUUCGAGCUCACCCCUGAAAACGUCGAUAUGGUUCUUGAAGAUGUUCGACCAUAUCUCAUUUCUGAUGGCGGAAACGUUGAGGUCGUCUCUGUGGAAGACGGUGUCGUUUCCCUCCAGCUUCAAGGAGCGUGCGAGAGUUGUCCUAGCGCAACAACUACAAUGAAGAUGGGGAUUGAAAGGGUACUCAAAGAAAAGUUUGGAGAAGCCAUCAAGGAUAUUCGCCAAGUAUACAAUGAGCAAGUAGUUGAAACCACUGCUGAGGCUGUGAAUGCUCACCUAGAUAUAUUAAGACCUGCCAUUAAAAAUUUUGGUGGUAGUGUGGAAGUUUUAUCAGUUGAGGAAGGCAAUUGCAAUGUGAAGUAUGUUGGGCCUGAGUCUAUUGGAUCAGGAGUCAAAG
Molecule: unclassified non-coding RNA, 654 nt
Filed under: Hevea brasiliensis (rubber tree)
Lineage: Eukaryota; Viridiplantae; Streptophyta; Magnoliopsida; Malpighiales; Euphorbiaceae
Source: RNAcentral